CCUUUUUAGAAAGAGACAAAGUCUGUGUCGGUGUACAUGCUGGCCCUGAUGGUGUACAUGCUGGCCCUGACGUCCCAGGCUGAGACACUACUCUAUCACUUGGAAGGUAGAUGCAAGAGGACCAAGAAUUCAAGGCCAGCUACAUGGUGUAUCUGAGCCCUGAGGUCAACUUAAGAGAUUUUUCUUCAAGACCCAGCCACCAUGUUUUGUAAAGCGGUGUCUCUCACUGGCCUGGAACCCUUCCAGAUGCCUAGGGUCCUUUCUGCCUCCACUUACCAAGCACUUGGAAUACACUGAACUCCGGCCAUCAUGCAUGACGAGCAGCAAGCACAUGACUACCUGAGCUAUUUCCCCAG
This is a long non-coding RNA of Mastomys coucha (southern multimammate mouse), 356 nucleotides long. RefSeq lists it as uncharacterized. The record is from RefSeq and is a predicted model, not a curated record. The transcript is spliced from 3 exons. NCBI's taxonomy places the organism in Eukaryota, Metazoa, Chordata, Mammalia, Rodentia, Muridae.